GUAAGAAAUCAAAUGUACUGGGGGCCUGCAUGCCGUAACGUGCAGAAAGCCGGGAGUCGGCAGACCGCCGCACGGCGCGGUUAACUCUCCCGCUGCGGGAGCGCCGCGUGGAGCAGCAGAGCGCCGAGCGCCAUCCGCGGGACUGCGGCGCCGCCUGGAGCACACCCGGGGCCGCGCCGCCCCCGCUUCUCUCGGAGCCCGGGGGUGGUGGGUAAGGGACCGAUGGCUGCUCUGCUCAUUUUUACUCCCAUCCACAAGCCCAAGGGACUCCCUCAUUAGAAAGCCACAUGCUGUCCAAGUACAGGAAUGAAAGCUGCCAGUACAGAACUGGGAGGUCAGCAAUUCUGCCAAUGAGCUCAUCAGGGUCAGCGUGGAUUCUUCAUACACCCCAGCAGGUGAUACUAUUAAGAUCAUGCUUGCUCUUGUGGUAACCAUUGUUCAGUUCAGGUCUGUUCUGGAAGCACUGAAGGAGUUAAAAGAAUUUUAUUCCAAGGUAAAAUGUAAGGAAUUCUACUUACCUGUAACCUCAUUCAUGUCCAUCAGACUAUCUAAGUAAAAAAAAUUUUCACAUGUUCAGGUAGCACAUUAUGAGUUUCAAAUAACAGCAUGAAAUUGAGACAUUUUCAGCAGUGUGCCAGGAUCUGUUUG
This 648-nucleotide long non-coding RNA is filed under the name Gallus gallus (chicken). RNAcentral describes it as "lncRNA (ENSGALG00010017486.1)". The record is from RNAcentral. Lineage: Eukaryota; Metazoa; Chordata; Aves; Galliformes; Phasianidae.